AAUCCUGUAGCACAAUUGGCAGUGCGUCUGUUUUUGGAGCAGAAGGUUAUUGGUUCAAAUCCAAUCAGGAUUA
This 73-nucleotide transfer RNA is filed under the name Chitinophaga arvensicola. Its description in RNAcentral is "tRNA_Gln_TTG". It matches the Rfam family "tRNA". From Rfam's summary of the family: Transfer RNA (tRNA) molecules are approximately 80 nucleotides in length. Lineage: Bacteria; Pseudomonadati; Bacteroidota; Chitinophagia; Chitinophagales; Chitinophagaceae. The record is from RNAcentral.